AACAAACAAAACCAGAAGGCCUCAAGAGGGUCUAUGGCUAGACCUGGGCCCUGAAUCCCAGAUUCAUUCUGUAGUUCUGAAGUUGUAUGCAUCUGCUAGGAUGCCCCUAAGGCAGCAGUGUUGUGGACUCUAGUUUAGUCUUCUGUGUGUUCAUUUAAAGACCCAGGGGCUUCCUUUUGUCUCCGUUGGUAGCCUGUGCAACUGGGAUCCUCAACCCUCACCUUUCCUUGCUUCUUAGCCCAAAUAUACUCACUAUGGGGGAAUCCCAAGGUGUUCUUAGGGACAGGCAUAGGCAGGGCCUGUUCUAGAUAUUUCUAGUGAGUGUGCAGGCUGAGCUGGGCCCUCUCUGCCCAGGCUUGCCUGUGUCCUGACUUGCCUUCAGUGGAAAGUAGAACUCUCUAAACCAGUUUUUCCCCAGACCCACAUUCUGCUAUGAAAGACUUCAUCCUAACCUCUGUGAGGGGGUCCUUGACUCAGAGGUAAGGAGAUGAUAGGCAGGGGAAUCAUGGCAAGAGAACAUAGAAUAGGUAUGAGCCUGGUAUUGAGUGGAUCAGGAAAAACUUGACAGAAAUGGCUUGUGAAGAUGCAGAGUGUGAUCCUAUCUCUCAGUGAUGAAGGUGACAGGAGAGACCUUACUCAGGGUUGGGAAGGGAGAAUUAAAGGGGUUGUUGGUAAACAUACCUGGGCAAGGAUGGAUCCAGAGUUCUGGACAGUCUUUAUUAUCAUUAGUGGAUUUUUUUUUUUUUUUGUAAUCAUAGAAACAAACCAAAAGCAAUGUUACUGUGUUGGAUGUUUUCUGUUCUAGGUGCAGCUUUGUGUGUGUGGAAGAUUGUGCUAUAUGCUGUGUAUCUGGCCUCAAAGAGUGGAGGAGAUGGUUCUUGGACCCUGUAUGCCUUCUACCUCGAAGCAUUCAUCAUCAGCCACAAGCAACCGAAUUUCAUCUGUAGCUCCUCUUCCUCCUGCAUUGUUUAUCAGAAGUCCAAGGUACUGUUGCCAAUGCAGUCAGAUGUACUUUGGGAGACUGGGGCUCUGGUGUUGAUAGUUGUGGGGUACACUCUUACGAUCACAGCAAAUCGACUUCUGUGUAUCAUUUUGUGUAAAUUAAUGAUUUCUCAGAAGUGGGCCUUAUAAAUGAGUCUUCAUAAUUGUGAAACUCAAGGAGUGAUGAUGAGGAUAUUCUACUCUCCCCAACAUCCACAAAAGAAGAGGCCAUUCUGCUGUAAAUCUGUCUAAGAUCCUAAUGUAAGAUACCCUUCACAAUAUCAGUCUUUUCUCCUGUGUAACAUAGAGACUUUUAUGGACUGUUAGGGUUGCUGUAUUCUGUGAAAAUAAUCUCUCCAACAUAAUCUUUCACUGGUUGUUGUAGUUGAUAUUUCAUACCCUGGUAAUAAUGUGAUUAUUUCCCUGUUACUAAGCAGCAUAAAUACUUGCAAGUGUGCAUGUUUGGUGGAAAAAUAAUAAUAAAAAUUCUUGUGUUAC
This is a long non-coding RNA of Peromyscus eremicus (cactus mouse), 1479 nucleotides long. RefSeq lists it as uncharacterized. Lineage: Eukaryota; Metazoa; Chordata; Mammalia; Rodentia; Cricetidae. The transcript has 2 exons. The record is from RefSeq and is a predicted model, not a curated record.